Marchantia paleacea is the source of this 84-nucleotide non-coding RNA. The record is from the annotation of a GenBank genome assembly. Lineage: Eukaryota; Viridiplantae; Streptophyta; Marchantiopsida; Marchantiales; Marchantiaceae.
UAGUCGUUGUAGUAUAGUGGUAAGUAUUACCGCCUGUCACGCGGGUGACCCGGAUGACCCGGGUUCGAUCCCCGGCAAUGGCGC